Long non-coding RNA from Nerophis ophidion (straightnose pipefish), 431 nucleotides. RefSeq lists it as uncharacterized. The transcript is spliced from 3 exons. The record is from RefSeq and is a predicted model, not a curated record. Lineage: Eukaryota; Metazoa; Chordata; Actinopteri; Syngnathiformes; Syngnathidae.
ACAUGCUAAAAAGCGUUUGUUAUUCUUUGUACUAUGGCGCCAUCUCUUGGACGAGUUGGCUCACUGUAGGUACUGCAGGUUGAAAAUGUACUGCCUGUUUCGCUCCUUGGACCGGAAGUAUUCAUCCAUAGCGUUCUGCUCAAAGGGAUUCUUCAUUCAUCUUUCCAAGCAACUGUUUUUCUUAAAUUCACCAAAGGUCACCGUGGGUUUAUUGAGUCUGUCUAGCUGAUUGGAGAGCGAGCUUCGGCUGCUAUCGGGUCCAUGACGAUGACUUCUGUUUUGUUUGAUCCGCCGUUUUACUGCCGUGUGACAUGCACCGUUUGGAAACAAUUAAGCUGUAGGAAUCGUUGAAACACGCCCGGCGACCCCAAAAGGGAUAAGCAGUGGGAAAUGGAUGGAUGGAUGGGUUUCUUCACACUACUUCGAGAGGU